Molecule: ribosomal RNA, 332 nt
Filed under: uncultured eukaryote
Lineage: Eukaryota
Description: partial 18S ribosomal RNA
Rfam family: Eukaryotic small subunit ribosomal RNA
Source: RNAcentral
CCCUUAGAUGUCCUGGGCUGCACGCGCGCUACACUGGAAGUUACGGAUUGAGAUACUACCUUGUCCGAAAUGGUCCGGGUAAUCACCUAAAAGCUUGUCAUAAUUGGAAUGGAUUUUUGUAACUAGUAAUCCUGAACGAGGAAUUCCUAGUAAGUCCCAGUCAACAGCUGGUACUGAUUACGUCCCUGCCCUUUGUACACACCGCCCGUCGCUACUACUGAUUGGACGUUUAAGCAAGAUUUUUAAACACUGACAGUGUGUAGUUCACGCUAUACUACAGUGAGAAGAAGAAGAUCGAGCUUACUUGUCUAGAGGAAGUAAAAGUCGUAACA